RNAcentral lists this RNase P RNA (435 nucleotides) under Patescibacteria group bacterium. RNAcentral describes it as "RNase P RNA component class A". It matches the Rfam family "Bacterial RNase P class A". From Rfam's summary of the family: Ribonuclease P (RNase P) is a ubiquitous endoribonuclease, found in archaea, bacteria and eukarya as well as chloroplasts and mitochondria. Its best characterised activity is the generation of mature 5'-ends of tRNAs by cleaving the 5'-leader elements of precursor-tRNAs. Cellular RNase Ps are ribonucleoproteins. The record is from RNAcentral.
UUGGGUUACACAGAUGAUCGCCCCGACCAAGUCGGGGAGGAAAGUCCGAACACUUGUUGGUGUCAAAACCAAUGUCAUGAGAGCCGUUAACGACGGCCAGGAUAUAGUCCGCCUUAGGCGGACAAACCUAGGGAAAGUGCCACAGAGACAAUACUACCCCGUGAUCUCGCAAGAGAUUUUACGGGGGAAAGGUGAAAAGUGAAUAGACGUGGUCAUCUCCGAUGAACAUCGGAGCAAUCUCUGCCACUAUUCUCGGCGCGUGGUAACACGCGUUCGUGGUAAACCCUCUCUAGCGCAAGAGCAAGAUCUGCGGCAGCAAUGCCAAGGAACUGGUAGCUCGCUCGAGCUUUGAUGCAAAUCAAGGCCCAGAUAGAUGAUCAUCGAACCGGCGUAAUACCCGGGGAACAAAAUUCGGCUUAUCGUUAGCCCUGGCAU